This 3710-nucleotide unclassified non-coding RNA is filed under the name Camponotus floridanus (Florida carpenter ant). RNAcentral describes it as "serine/threonine-protein kinase OSR1, transcript variant X1". Lineage: Eukaryota; Metazoa; Arthropoda; Insecta; Hymenoptera; Formicidae. The record is from RNAcentral.
CCGUCUGACAUACAUAGUUCGGUCACGACGGCGGGCACAGGAGGAUCCUACGUCUCCUCCGAGGAAUACAUAGUCGACAAUAGUUUCCUCGAAAUUGCGUUCGUGCUUCUUCCCUCUAUCUUUUCGAAAUCACGUAGACGUCAUCGCAUGUGCCUCCGGAAUUUUCACUUUACUUUAAUUCAAAGAUAGUAUAUAAGAACCGAUGUCGACAGAUCGUGUAUUGUGACACAGAGAUAAUGUCGGGCCGACCAACGUGUUUAAAUGAUCAGUGUUUUAUCUACGGUGAAAUGAGCUCGGUCACAAUUGACGACCAGUGAAACGGACAAUUCUGAAGAUUUUGUUGAAUACGUGGUCGUCGAUUUUCAACGAAAGAAGAAAGACGUGAAAAGAGGAGAGAUCCCAGUGCAUCCUGCAGAAGACCCACGAUUGAGAUGUCAUUGGGCUGACUCCUAAUGCUAUGGCAGCCGAUCUUUAUGCGAACGGCUCUGUGAAGUCAACGUCUGCCAGGCUCGUACGCAGCAUGGGGCAGCGAAAAUCGGGCACCCUGGGCGCCGCGGCGCCCAUAUCGACGGAGGAGGAGCAGCUGAAGUUUCAAGACAGUAGAUUUCUGACGACUUUGGUUGGCAGAAGUAGGAAAAUCUCGCCGGACAUAUUGCCAUCGUGCUCGCCCGGCGUGUUUCGCCAAAGGUCGUUCCGCUCGUCUACGCCGCCGCCGAAGAAGCUGCCAGCAUCCUCACCGGCACUUCCAACGGCAGCGACAAUAACACCCAUCUCGCGAAACAGCCGGGGCGCAUCUGCGGCCGCGGCCAACGAUCGCGCGGCCACCCCUACCGUCCCUACCGUCCCCACCCCCGUGUCAGCUGUUCCACCACGUGACAACGGUUCGUGGGUCGUCGUCGGCGCUCCUCUGACGUUGUCGCGGGGCACCCGAGCAACCAGCAAGCAGGCGCGCCUCGGUCCGGUACUGGCCAGCAAAAUGGCGUCCGCGAGCUCCUCCACGAUCGUGCAGGGCUGGCCGAAUACCAAGGACGAUUACGAGCUCAAGGAGGUUAUCGGAGUUGGAGCGACCGCCGUGGUGCAUGCAGCAUUUUGUAUCCCGCGACAAGAGAAAUGUGCGAUCAAGAGAAUAAAUUUGGAAAAAUGGAAUACAAACAUGGACGAACUGCUGAAAGAGAUACAGGCGAUGUCUUCUUGCAACCACGAAAACGUCGUAACUUAUUAUACAUCAUUCGUGGUAAAAGAAGAACUCUGGCUGGUUUUAAGAUUACUAGAAGGCGGAUCCUUGCUGGAUAUUAUUAAGCAUAAGACUAGAACCACUAAUUGCAAGCAUGGAGUAUUCGACGAAGCCACUAUAGCUACUGUACUUCGGGAAGUACUCAAAGGGCUUGAAUAUUUCCACAGCAAUGGACAGAUUCAUAGGGACAUAAAAGCGGGUAAUAUCCUACUAGGCGAGGAUGGCACGGUGCAGAUCGCCGAUUUCGGUGUCAGCGCGUGGCUCGCAACCGGACGCGACCUGAGUCGGCAGAAGGUCCGGCAUACUUUCGUCGGUACACCAUGUUGGAUGGCGCCUGAGGUCAUGGAGCAGGUGAGAGAGGAUCAUGGCUAUGAUUUUAAGGCUGAUAUAUGGUCACUUGGCAUCACGGCGAUCGAGAUGGCCAGCGGCACGGCACCAUAUCACAAAUAUCCUCCGAUGAAAGUCUUGAUGCUGACGCUGCAGAAUGAUCCACCCACUCUAGAUACUGCCGCAGAUGACAAGGAUCAGUAUAAGGCAUAUGGGAAAACAUUCCGAAAAAUGAUUGUCGAUUGUUUACAAAAAGAUCCUACCAAGAGACCAACAGCCACUGAGUUGCUGAAACACCCAUUUUUCAAGAAAGCCAAAGAUAAGAAAUAUCUGCAACAAACAUUGGUAGCAAUUGGACCUAGUUUAGAAACACGCGUACAAAAGGCAUCAAAAAGACAACCCGGUACAUCAGGUCGUUUACAUCGAACGGUAACUGGAGAAUGGGUCUGGUCGUCAGAGGAAGAAGAUAGUGGUGGAUCAAGUGGUGACGAAGGUGCUAAAGAGGCGUUGCCGGUCAACACGCUCGAAAAGGCUAGUAGUGAUGAAGACGUCGGCGAGUCCGACGAAUACUAUGGUCAAAUAAAAGUAGCACCGAGUCAAGUUGCAAUACCAGCUACCGAGCAAAAUGUUCCUAUAAAUUUGGUGCUCAGAUUACGAAAUGAAAGACGAGAGCUUAAUGACAUUAGGUUCGAAUUCACUGUUGGAGUAGAUUCAGCGCAAGGAAUCGCAGCAGAACUCGUUGCUGCGGGUCUAGUCGAUGGUAAGGAUGUUGUGGUGAUAGCAGCGAAUCUGAAAAAAUUGAUAGAAAGUGGAGGACAAUUACGGACAGUGACAUUUUCCUUGAAUUCUGGCUAUGCAGCGAAUGAAAUACCAGAUGACAAGGCGUUAAUAGGAUUUGCUCAGAUCUCUCUCACCGAUUGAAUAAUUUCGAUUACCGAAUGAUUCCAUUUCUGAACUCUCAGGAUAAUGUUCUUAAUUGAUGCAUAUUCGCCAUUUGUUAGAUCCAGAGAGUAUCAAAAGCUAACGAUCGGCUAGAUAUUAUUUUUCGAAAUAAAUUAUAUCAUAGACGAUAAAUAAAUAUUUGGAGCACACAUACAGAACACAUAAUAGGUAAUCGAAAUACAUAUUUGUUACAAUAGUAGUAACAAACUAUGCUCAAGCGUGUUUGAUAACAUCGUCAGUGUUCAUAUGCGGAGGCAAUCAUGAAUGGGGCAGUUAAAAAUAAUAUCAUUCACAUACUGGCUUAAAAGUAUACACUUACUCUCUUUCUCUCUAAUCAAUAAUGGCUGUAGUUUUACAUAACCGAAUUGUAUCAUUCGUAUUACAUCAGUCUAUGUAAAUAUUAGCAUUCAAUCAUUUGUUGAGUUUUCCUUUUUUUUCUUUAUGAUUAAUGUAUCAAAUGGAAUAAAGAGAUAUUGCAUAUGUGAAAUGCAAUAUUUCAUAUGAACUUAGAGAAUCAAGAGAAAAUGCUUGAUAAUCUAAUUUAUUUGCCCUAAAUGUAAGCUGUUUCUCUUGAAUAGCAAAAAGCUUUAGUUACAUAAAAAAAUUCAAUAUGCUGAAUAUAGAAUCAUGUUCAUGUAUCAUGUACAGAUUAUCCGUGUACAUCUUAUGUUAUAUGCUAGGAAAAGGCAGAUAUAGAAAAUGUUGGAAUAAAAUAAAACUCUUUUGUACUUAAUUAAAUAGACUUACGAUAGCAAAUUAAUAUUUUCACAGUUUUUAGACGUAGCGAGAUAGAGAAAUGAUCGAAAAGUUUUUACUCGUACGUCUUGAGGAAAUGUUCAAUUAAUUUCUUCAUAAAAUGUAUUGGAAAAAAUUGAUAAAAUCAGAAUCACAUACAACAGCAGUUUAACACAAUCUAUACUCUCUCUUUUUACGAUUUUACGAAUAUCCCACAUUUAUGUUUAAAAGACAUUCAGAGAACAUCCUGAAGAUAUCUUCGAAAUAUCUUCUGAACGUCUUUUGGAUAUGCGUGCUAUGUGGGAUAGUAUUAAUUAUUUUUACAUUCCUGUAUUUACUGAAAAUUGUAAAGAUAUAUAUUUGUGAUGUUCUUAUCGUUUUUUAUAUUUACAAAUUGUAAAGAUUGAGUUUUAUGACAAAAAGACAAAUAAUCGUCAAAAACGUGUGUGCGAAUACUUUCUUAAUGUUUUCA